UUGCUCGCUUUGGCAGCACAUAUACUAAAAUUGGAAUGAUACAGAGAUGAGCAUGGUCCCUAUGCAAGGAUGACACGCAAAUUCACGAAGCAUUCCAUAUUAAA
Molecule: small nuclear RNA, 104 nt
Organism: Suncus etruscus (white-toothed pygmy shrew)
Lineage: Eukaryota; Metazoa; Chordata; Mammalia; Eulipotyphla; Soricidae
Source: RefSeq, a predicted model, not a curated record